RNAcentral lists this ribosomal RNA (1165 nucleotides) under Staphylococcus aureus. RNAcentral's name for it is "partial 23S ribosomal RNA". It matches the Rfam family "Bacterial large subunit ribosomal RNA", at positions 12 to 1173 of the family's 2925-position model. The record is from RNAcentral. Lineage: Bacteria; Bacillati; Bacillota; Bacilli; Caryophanales; Staphylococcaceae.
UAAGGGCGCACGGUGGAUGCCUUGGCACUAGAAGCCGAUGAAGGACGUUACUAACGACGAUAUGCUUUGGGGAGCUGUAAGUAAGCUUUGAUCCAGAGAUUUCCGAAUGGGGAAACCCAGCAUGAGUUAUGUCAUGUUAUCGAUAUGUGAAUACAUAGCAUAUCAGAAGGCACACCCGGAGAACUGAAACAUCUUAGUACCCGGAGGAAGAGAAAGAAAAUUCGAUUCCCUUAGUAGCGGCGAGCGAAACGGGAAGAGCCCAAACCAACAAGCUUGCUUGUUGGGGUUGUAGGACACUCUAUACGGAGUUACAAAGGACGACAUUAGACGAAUCAUCUGGAAAGAUGAAUCAAAGAAGGUAAUAAUCCUGUAGUCGAAAAUGUUGUCUCUCUUGAGUGGAUCCUGAGUACGACGGAGCACGUGAAAUUCCGUCGGAAUCUGGGAGGACCAUCUCCUAAGGCUAAAUACUCUCUAGUGACCGAUAGUGAACCAGUACCGUGAGGGAAAGGUGAAAAGCACCCCGGAAGGGGAGUGAAAUAGAACCUGAAACCGUGUGCUUACAAGUAGUCAGAGCCCGUUAAUGGGUGAUGGCGUGCCUUUUGUAGAAUGAACCGGCGAGUUACGAUUUGAUGCAAGGUUAAGCAGUAAAUGUGGAGCCGUAGCGAAAGCGAGUCUGAAUAGGGCGUUUAGUAUUUGGUCGUAGACCCGAAACCAGGUGAUCUACCCUUGGUCAGGUUGAAGUUCAGGUAACACUGAAUGGAGGACCGAACCGACUUACGUUGAAAAGUGAGCGGAUGAACUGAGGGUAGCGGAGAAAUUCCAAUCGAACCUGGAGAUAGCUGGUUCUCUCCGAAAUAGCUUUAGGGCUAGCCUCAAGUGAUGAUUAUUGGAGGUAGAGCACUGUUUGGACGAGGGGCCCCUCUCGGGUUACCGAAUUCAGACAAACUCCGAAUGCCAAUUAAUUUAACUUGGGAGUCAGAACAUGGGUGAUAAGGUCCGUGUUCGAAAGGGAAACAGCCCAGACCACCAGCUAAGGUCCCAAAAUAUAUGUUAAGUGGAAAAGGAUGUGGCGUUGCCCAGACAACUAGGAUGUUGGCUUAGAAGCAGCCAUCAUUUAAAGAGUGCGUAAUAGCUCACUAGUCGAGUGACACUGCGCCGAAAAUGU